Molecule: ribosomal RNA, 385 nt
Filed under: Salmonella enterica subsp. enterica serovar Typhimurium
Lineage: Bacteria; Pseudomonadati; Pseudomonadota; Gammaproteobacteria; Enterobacterales; Enterobacteriaceae
Description: partial 23S ribosomal RNA
Rfam family: Bacterial large subunit ribosomal RNA
Source: RNAcentral
UUAAUGAGGCGAACCGGGGGAACUGAAACAUCUAAGUACCCCGAGGAAAAGAAAUCAACCGAGAUUCCCCCAGUAGCGGCGAGCGAACGGGGAGGAGCCCAGAGCCUGAAUCAGCAUGUGUGUUAGUGGAAGCGUCUGGAAAGGCGCGCGAUACAGGGUGACAGCCCCGUACACAAAAGCGCAUGUGCUGUGAGCUCGAUGAGUAGGGCGGGACACGUGGUAUCCUGUCUGAAUAUGGGGGGACCAUCCUCCAAGGCUAAAUACUCCUGACUGACCGAUAGUGAACCAGUACCGUGAGGGAAAGGCGAAAAGAACCCCGGCGAGGGGAGUGAAAAAGAACCUGAAACCGUGUACGUACAAGCAGUGGGAGCCCCACCACUAAGCC